RNAcentral lists this long non-coding RNA (1119 nucleotides) under Monodelphis domestica (gray short-tailed opossum). RNAcentral's name for it is "lncRNA (ENSMODG00000037454.1)". The record is from RNAcentral. Lineage: Eukaryota; Metazoa; Chordata; Mammalia; Didelphimorphia; Didelphidae.
CUUUCUUAAAAAAAACAACAACUUUGUGCCUUAACUGUAAUUAUUUAAUGAAUAAUUAUUCAAUAAAUCAUAACACUAAAUGUUAAUGGAAUAAUUUUAAUAAUUGAUGCAAUGCCACUUGUCAAAAUAAAUAAGUUUUUAGAAUUUCAUUAAAGACAGUCAAAAAAGAUUUUAUAUUUACUAAAAAGAAUUGGAAUUUUUUUCAUUUCUAACUAUGAGAUUACUACUAAUGAGAUUACUCUUUUGCCUUUUUCACAAGAAGAUACUGCUAGCUACAGCUAUACAGUUAUUGAAUUUGUUUCAUUUUACCUAGGGAUAAGGAGACUCUUUACAAACACAUAUUGAUGAUAAAGAAAUAACUGGAAGUGAAAAGGAAAGGAAAAGUAAAGUUUUAUCACCAUUCAUGUAUCUAACUUUGUAUAUGAUUUGGGUAUGAACGGAAUGAGAAAGGAACAUCACCAAGUAAGUAAUCACAGGCCUUCCUAAUCCCUCUCAAAAUCUGUCUCAACUCUCCCUUACAACCCUUCUACAAUUCAGUGUAAAGGAACAUGCUCACAGCUAUUCUGACAGAGCACAGGGAGAAAAGUGGCAGUCAGAAAAAAACCUCUGGUUUGAGUCUCUCUCUACUCUAGAAACACCCCCUCUAUCGUUCUGGUUUAUAAUGCCCUUUCUCUGAAACAUCCCUUUCCUACCACUCCCAUAUGGAAAUUUCCAUGCCUGAUUAACUGAAAAGAAGAAAAGGCCAUCCCAUUGCUUACAAAAAUAAUUUCAUAAUUCAAUCUAUUUAGCCUUCCUUGUAUUACUUAAGGUUCUUAGCUCAAUACCAGGCAAAGGGUCAACAUCAAACUGCACUUGGGAUUCAGUGAAGACCUCAACCCAACUAAUUACAGCAUUAAAAUCUCCAGGGGACAUGUCUUUUUUGUUUUCCAUAUUUACAGAGGAAGAAGGAAUUAAAGAGUAAUUAUUUAGAUUCUUCUUUACUCAUUGAUACCUUAAUUUCAAGCAUUAUAUUCCCACCACAUUCUAUAGUAUUUUAGGUACACAUUCCAGUCAUAUACUCCUUUUUAUGAAUCCAAUUGGGGUUUUCUUGGCAAAGAAACUAGAGUGGUUACCAUUUCC